This 105-nucleotide microRNA precursor is filed under the name Xyrichtys novacula (pearly razorfish). The record is from RNAcentral. Lineage: Eukaryota; Metazoa; Chordata; Actinopteri; Labriformes; Labridae.
AUCCCAUCUUCUAGCUUGACACACUAAAACAUAAUAUAUAUAUAAGAGACCUUCAUAUAUGUAUAUAUAUAUCAUGUUUUAGUGUGUCAAGCUAGAAGAUGGGAU